RNAcentral lists this ribosomal RNA (491 nucleotides) under uncultured bacterium. Its description in RNAcentral is "partial 16S ribosomal RNA". It matches the Rfam family "Bacterial small subunit ribosomal RNA", at positions 29 to 507 of the family's 1533-position model. The record is from RNAcentral.
GUGAACGCUGGCGGUAGGCCUAACACAUGCAAGUCGAACGGCAGCACAGUAAGAGCUUGCUCUUACGGGUGGCGAGUGGCGGACGGGUGAGGAAUACAUCGGAAUCUACUUUUUCGUGGGGGAUAACGUAGGGAAACUUACGCUAAUACCGCAUACGACCUACGGGUGAAAGCAGGGGAUCUUCGGACCUUGCGCGAUUGAAUGAGCCGAUGUCGGAUUAGCUAGUUGGCGGGGUAAAGGCCCACCAAGGCGACGAUCCGUAGCUGGUCUGAGAGUAUGAUCAGCCACACUGGAACUGAGACACGGUCCAGACUCCUACGGGAGGCAGCAGUGGGGAAUAUUGGACAAUGGGCGCAAGCCUGAUCCAGCCAUACCGCGUGGGUGAAGAAGGCCUUCGGGUUGUAAAGCCCUUUUGUUGGGAAAGAAAAGCAGCAGGUUAAUACCCCGCUGUUCUGACGGUACCCAAAGAAUAAGCACCGGCUAACUUCGUG